Molecule: transfer RNA, 68 nt
Filed under: Anomaloglossus verbeeksnyderorum
Lineage: Eukaryota; Metazoa; Chordata; Amphibia; Anura; Aromobatidae
Description: tRNA-Trp
Rfam family: tRNA
About the family: Transfer RNA (tRNA) molecules are approximately 80 nucleotides in length. Their secondary structure includes four short double-helical elements and three loops (D, anti-codon, and T loops). Further hydrogen bonds mediate the characteristic L-shaped molecular structure. tRNAs have two regions of fundamental functional importance: the anti-codon, which is responsible for specific mRNA codon recognition, and the 3' end, to which the tRNAs corresponding amino acid is attached (by aminoacyl-tRNA synthetases). tRNAs cope with the degeneracy of the genetic code in two manners: having more than one tRNA (with a specific anti-codon) for a particular amino acid; and 'wobble' base-pairing, i.e. permitting non-standard base-pairing at the 3rd anti-codon position.
Source: RNAcentral
AAACUUAGGUUAAGCCAAACCCAGAACCUUCAAAGCUCUCAAUAGCAGUUAAAUUCUUCUAGUUUCUG